Molecule: small RNA, 270 nt
Filed under: Staphylococcus aureus
Lineage: Bacteria; Bacillati; Bacillota; Bacilli; Caryophanales; Staphylococcaceae
Description: HMPRFS0000_2234
Source: RNAcentral
GAAAAUGAUGUAGUACAUUUUUGUUCUGUUGAUUUGGUCGAUAGUCCGAUGAGAGAUGCACAUUAUCAAUUGAUUACCAAAACAUUAAAUGCAAAUGGUACUGUCGUAUUUGAUCCUAAUGUAAGAUUGCCAUUAUGGGAUAACGCUGAAGAUUUAAGACAAACUAUUCAUACCUUUUUGCCAUUGGCGCAUAUUGUAAAAGUUUCAGAUGAAGAAUUAGAAUUUAUUACAGGUAUUCAUGAUGAAAAUGAAGCGAUUCAAUCAUUAUUU